This 77-nucleotide transfer RNA is filed under the name Clostridia bacterium. Its description in RNAcentral is "tRNA-Arg". It matches the Rfam family "tRNA". Rfam says of the family: Transfer RNA (tRNA) molecules are approximately 80 nucleotides in length. Their secondary structure includes four short double-helical elements and three loops (D, anti-codon, and T loops). The record is from RNAcentral. Lineage: Bacteria; Bacillati; Bacillota; Clostridia.
GCGCCCGUAGCUCAGCAGGAUAGAGCGGCCGCCUCCUAAGCGGCAGGUCGGGGAUUCGAGUUCCUCCGGGCGCGCCA